RNAcentral lists this unclassified non-coding RNA (608 nucleotides) under Hevea brasiliensis (rubber tree). Lineage: Eukaryota; Viridiplantae; Streptophyta; Magnoliopsida; Malpighiales; Euphorbiaceae. The record is from RNAcentral.
GGGGAAAUGAUGGCCAACACCAAGGUUCUGCCCCCCCUCCUCGUGGAAAGGGACACGGUCGGGGUAAUGCUCGUUUUAGGAGUUUCAAAGCACAAAGUGUGAUUUCUACAUCUUCCUAUACAGAACCUUCUGCUGCUAAGGAAAACUCGGCUGAUGCAGCCAAAAAGGCAGCCGAAUCUGCUUCUGCACCAGAAAGGAUAGCUCCUAACCGUCGACCUCGGCAGAUUGCUUGGUGUGAACUUUGUAGGGUAGAUUGCACUAGUUUGGAAAUUCUUGAGCAGCACAAGAAUGGAAAGAGGCAUAAAAAGAACUUGCUGAGGAUUGAAGAGUUGAAAAAUGCUAUCAAACCAGCGGAUUCUAUACAGAAUCAUCCAGAAUGUAUAAAUGAUUCCAAGCCGGUAGAGUCUCAGCAGCCUCCAAUUGCAGAGGAUAGUGAAGAGCAGAAGUCAGCAGAAAACUUACCCUCUAAAGCUGGUAAUGCUGAAUAUAGAAUGGAGAACAAUCUGCAAAAUAAUACACAGGAAAAACCUGAAGUUCCAAUGGGGGAAUCAUCUAAUAAGCAAGGAAGGAAGCCAAGGACAAAUUUGUUUGAUAAUAGGAGACGUGGA